CAGGGCUCGUGCAGGAGGCAACCAACUGAUGUGUUUCUCUCACAUUGAUGUUUCUCUCUCUGUCUUUCCCUUUCUCUUCCACUCUUCUCCUAGACCCCCCAAAGAAAGCCCAAAUUUGAUUCACUGGAGGAAUCCUCUUACUAGGUUUAACCAGCAGAACAUCUGUACAAAUUGAUACUUCUACCACCCAUGUGUCAAUACCUAUUUAUCAGCAACCUUGCCCAUGGGCAUGUUGGAAGAAGAAACACUUGUGGUGGUGGAGGAAACAAACAUUUAUUGUGGUGACAGAGAGAAGGAUUACUUACCAUGUUUCAGUCCCUUUGGAGAAAGGAUGUCUUUCCUCACUCACCCUCAGCUUGGUUGAGGACUGAUGAGCAUUGGGGCUCUACUGAAAGGCAUGGCGAACCUGCCUGUGCUCUCCUAUUCUUUCUGGAAUUUGUGCUUUGCGGGAUUUGGGGGUCACGAGGCAGGCCUACAAUCCACCGUGUGAUACUCUGGUUAACAGAGACUCUAUUUUCAUGUCCCCUUCUCAAAUGGGAGUGCCGUGGAGAAUGCCGUGGCAUACCCAGCACCCCACACCAAACCCAGCACAUCUCCCUGGAACAAGGAAUGAUUGAAACAUCUAAAAGGAACUUAGCUGGCAAGUGAGGACAUUUUCUAUAUUAAAGCAUACUCAGAUGUAUUAGUGAAUAGAAUGGAAAAUUGAAAUAUCAAAAUUAACUUUCAACACAUAAAACCUCAAAUAAAUUAGGGUGUGUUUUUCCCUUUGUU
Long non-coding RNA from Pipistrellus kuhlii (Kuhl's pipistrelle), 771 nucleotides. RefSeq lists it as uncharacterized. The transcript is spliced from 3 exons. The record is from RefSeq and is a predicted model, not a curated record. NCBI's taxonomy places the organism in Eukaryota, Metazoa, Chordata, Mammalia, Chiroptera, Vespertilionidae.